Molecule: small nucleolar RNA, 77 nt
Organism: Loxodonta africana (African savanna elephant)
Lineage: Eukaryota; Metazoa; Chordata; Mammalia; Proboscidea; Elephantidae
Rfam family: Small nucleolar RNA SNORD53/SNORD92
About the family: U53 is a member of the C/D class of snoRNA which contain the C (UGAUGA) and D (CUGA) box motifs. Most of the members of the box C/D family function in directing site-specific 2'-O-methylation of substrate RNAs.
Source: Rfam
UUGCCGUGAUGACUUUCACUGGGUUUUACAUGUUGCUGAGUUCCAAUGAUGCCAUUUUUUCUUGGUUGUCUGAGUUU